This 460-nucleotide ribosomal RNA is filed under the name uncultured bacterium. RNAcentral's name for it is "partial 16S ribosomal RNA". It matches the Rfam family "Bacterial small subunit ribosomal RNA", at positions 338 to 795 of the family's 1533-position model. The record is from RNAcentral.
CCUACGGGAGGCAGCAGUGAGGAAUAUUGGUCAAUGGGCGCGAGCCUGAACCAGCCAAGUCGCGUGAGGGAAGACGGCCCUACGGGUUGUAAACCUCUUUUGCCGGGGAGCAACGGGCGCCACGUGUGGCGCCACUGAGAGUACCCGGAGAAAAAGCAUCGGCUAACUCCGUGCCAGCCGCCGCGGUAAUACGGGGGAUGCGGGCGUUCUCCGGAUUUAUUGGGUUUAAAGGGUGCGUAGGCGGAGCGUUAAGUCAGUGGUAAAAUUGAGGGGCUCAACCCCUUCCCGCCAUUGAAACUGGCGCUCUUGAGUGGAAGAGAGGGAUGCGGAAUGCGUGGUGUAGCGGUGAAAUGCAUAGAUAUCACGCAGAACCCCGAUGGCGAAGGCAGCAUGCCGGCUUCCGACUGACGCUGAAGCACGAAAGCGUGGGGAUCGAACAGGAUUAGAUACCCUAGUAGUC